This 1346-nucleotide ribosomal RNA is filed under the name uncultured bacterium. Its description in RNAcentral is "partial 16S ribosomal RNA". It matches the Rfam family "Bacterial small subunit ribosomal RNA", at positions 28 to 1381 of the family's 1533-position model. The record is from RNAcentral.
GACGAACGCUGGCGGCGUGCUUAACACAUGCAAGUCGAACGGAAAGGCCCUGCUUUUGUGGGGUGCUCGAGUGGCGAACGGGUGAGUAACACGUGAGUAACCUGCCCUUGACUUUGGGAUAACUUCAGGAAACUGGGGCUAAUACCGGAUAGGAGCUCCUGCUGCAUGGUGGGGGUUGGAAAGUUUCGGCGGUUGGGGAUGGACUCGCGGCUUAUCAGCUUGUUGGUGGGGUAGUGGCUUACCAAGGCUUUGACGGGUAGCCGGCCUGAGAGGGUGACCGGCCACAUUGGGACUGAGAUACGGCCCAGACUCCUACGGGAGGCAGCAGUGGGGAAUAUUGCACAAUGGGCGGAAGCCUGAUGCAGCAACGCCGCGUGCGGGAUGACGGCCUUCGGGUUGUAAACCGCUUUCGCCUGUGACGAAGCGUGAGUGACGGUAAUGGGUAAAGAAGCACCGGCUAACUACGUGCCAGCAGCCGCGGUGAUACGUAGGGUGCGAGCGUUGUCCGGAUUUAUUGGGCGUAAAGGGCUCGUAGGUGGUUGAUCGCGUCGGAAGUGUAAUCUUGGGGCUUAACCCUGAGCGUGCUUUCGAUACGGGUUGACUUGAGGAAGGUAGGGGAGAAUGGAAUUCCAGGUGGAGCGGUGGAAUGCGCAGAUAUCAGGAGGAACACCAGUGGCGAAGGCGGUUCUCUGGGCCUUUCCUGACGCUGAGGAGCGAAAGCGUGGGGAGCGAACAGGCUUAGAUACCCUGGUAGUCCACGCUGUAAACGGUGGGUACUAGGUGUGGGGUCCAUUCCACGGGUUCCGUGCCGUAGCUAACGCUUUAAGUACCCCGCCUGGGGAGUACGGCCGCAAGGCUAAAACUCAAAGGAAUUGACGGGGCCCCGCACAAGCGGCGGAGCAUGCGGAUUAAUUCGAUGCAACGCGUAGAACCUUACCUGGGUUUGACAUGGAUCGGGAGUGCUCAGAGAUGGGUGUGCCUCUUUUGGGGUCGGUUCACAGGUGGUGCAUGGCUGUCGUCAGCUCGUGUCGUGAGAUGUUGGGUUAAGUCCCGCAACGAGCGCAACCCUUGUUCACUGUUGCCAGCACGUUAUGGUGGGGACUCAGUGGAGACCGCCGGGGUCAACUCGGAGGAAGGUGGGGAUGACGUCAAGUCAUCAUGCCCCUUAUGUCCAGGGCUUCACGCAUGCUACAAUGGCUGGUACAGAGAGUGGCGAGCCUGUGAGGGUGAGCGAAUCUCGGAAAGCCGGUCUCAGUUCGGAUUGGGGUCUGCAACUCGACCUCAUGAAGUCGGAGUCGCUAGUAAUCGCAGAUCAGCAACGCUGCGGUGAAUACGUUCCCGGGGCU